Molecule: long non-coding RNA, 800 nt
Filed under: Heterocephalus glaber (naked mole-rat)
Lineage: Eukaryota; Metazoa; Chordata; Mammalia; Rodentia; Bathyergidae
Description: lncRNA (ENSHGLG00000044836.1)
Source: RNAcentral
GAAGACCUGAGCGCUUGACGGUGUCGCGGGCGGUGUGUCUCCAGGCUGCUGGGCGUUUUCUUUUUCUAACAACGCGACGGUUCAGAGAAGAAGUUUAACGCUGUCACCACAUUUUACUCUCUUAGCAUGCAUUUUGUGACCCUGCAAUAAUCAUCUGCGUUUUGGAUUAGGGGAUGUGAGACUGAAGGAAAGCGCCCUUAGAAAAAGGAUCUCUGGGCCGGGGAUUUAGCCCAGUGGGUCCGCCGCCUGCCUCACAAGUUCAAGGACCCGAGGUCGAUCCCCGGUACAAAAAGAAAGAAAGAAAGAGGGUCUUCGCUGUGGUUGUGUGGAUUCCUGGCUGUGGAGAGACACAGGAUCUAUGUUAGUGAUCUCCCGGGAGCACAGCACGAGGGAACCACUACCGCGGAAAGCGAAAGCAAAGGACGGAGUCGUGGUUUCAGCCACAGUCUCGGUGUCACUGGAGCUGUGUCAAGCAGCGAGAUUGUGACCAUGGCCUGCUCCGCAGAGCCAGCCUGGUCUGAGGCCGGCAGACUUCUGGAGGGCACCACCCACGUCGAGGGAAGCUCUCCUCCCUCAGUUUGCUGUCCCACACGCAAACUGUCUCUGGAGACACCUCACAGACACACCCGGAAGUGAGCUUUACUCGUUUCGUGGCAUUUCUCAUCCAGUAAGGUGACAACCAAGAUGAACGGUCACAGCACCUCUCAGCACCUGCUCUCCAGUUCCCUCCUGUUUGCCCUCCGAGACACUGCUUACCCCUGUGGGCGCCCCCAAAAGCUGAUUCCUGUAGACUCCUAAAG